GAAGAUACAGCUCAGUGGUAGAGUGUGUAUUUAGUGUGCACAAGGACCUGGGUUCAAUCCCCAGUACCUCCA
RNAcentral lists this transfer RNA (72 nucleotides) under Camelus bactrianus (Bactrian camel). It matches the Rfam family "tRNA". Rfam says of the family: Transfer RNA (tRNA) molecules are approximately 80 nucleotides in length. Their secondary structure includes four short double-helical elements and three loops (D, anti-codon, and T loops). RNAcentral also lists the same sequence under 2 other names. The record is from Rfam by way of RNAcentral. Lineage: Eukaryota; Metazoa; Chordata; Mammalia; Artiodactyla; Camelidae.